GUCUAUGGCCAUGCCACCCUGAACAAGCCUGAUCUCGUCUGAUCUCGGAAGCUAAGGAGGGUUGGGCCUGGUUAGUACUUGGAUGGGAGAUCACCUAGGUAGACCAGUUGCUGUAGGCG
This 119-nucleotide ribosomal RNA is filed under the name Pteropus alecto (black flying fox). Lineage: Eukaryota; Metazoa; Chordata; Mammalia; Chiroptera; Pteropodidae. The record is from RNAcentral.